GAAAGCCGGGUGCGGGAAAUCCGCAUGCCCGGUUUGACGAGCGGCGACUGGAAACGGAGCAUGGUCCGAAAUGAGGCACCGGCACUCAGCGAAAGCUGCCGGCCAACGGCAACUCCUCGGAACCUGUAGCCACCGCGCCAGUCGUCGACUCUAC
This 154-nucleotide non-coding RNA is filed under the name Bradyrhizobium sp. SBR1B. Lineage: Bacteria; Pseudomonadati; Pseudomonadota; Alphaproteobacteria; Hyphomicrobiales; Nitrobacteraceae. The record is from RNAcentral.